GUCGUUGUAGUAUAGUGGUGAGUAUUCCCGCCUGUCACGCGGGUGACCCGAAUUCGAUCCCAGGCAGCGGCG
Molecule: non-coding RNA, 72 nt
Organism: Picea glauca (white spruce)
Lineage: Eukaryota; Viridiplantae; Streptophyta; Pinopsida; Pinales; Pinaceae
Source: Rfam